Molecule: microRNA precursor, 207 nt
Filed under: Oryza nivara
Lineage: Eukaryota; Viridiplantae; Streptophyta; Magnoliopsida; Poales; Poaceae
Description: MIR812 microRNA precursor family
Rfam family: MIR812 microRNA precursor family
Source: Rfam by way of RNAcentral
AUUAAGUGCAGCCGUGGAUAUCCGUGCCUAACAUUUGACCGUCCGUCUUAUUUGAAAAAUUUAUGAAAAUUUGAAAAUAUUUAGUCACACAUAAAGUACUAUUCAUGUUUUAUCAUCUAAUAGCAAUAAAAAUACUAAUCAUAAAAAAUUUUCAAAUAAGACGAAUGGUCAAACGUUGAACGUGAAUAGUGCAAAACUGCACUUAUU